AUGGUGCGCGGCGGCCGGACCAAGAGCAGCCGCUGGCAUCGGUUUGGAGCUAAGCUAGCUUGCUUGCUUGGGUUGAUGCGGUCGCCGGACAGAGGAGGAGGCACCGCCGCAGCGGUAGAAGACGACGGAGGAGGAGGAGGAGAACCUCCGCCCACGGUGACGGAACGAGUCCACGAUAGAAAGGAUAAUCUCCCCACAGUUCGGCUGCUCUUCCCUCCCCACCUUCUCGGCCAGGGUGCUGGGUGGAGCGAGCGUGGCUCGGAGACGGCGAUGGAGGCGGCUCUUCUGGGCGGAUUCAUCAAGGUCAUCCUGCCGAGGCUCUUCUCUCUCAUCGACGACAAGUACAAGCUGCACAGGGGCGUCAAGAGCGACGUCAGGUUCCUCGUGAAGGAGCUCCGCAUGAUCGUCGGCGCCAUCGACGACGACGAGCUCUCGGCGACCUCCUCCGCCGCCGCGCGCCUCUCGAUCCAGGACCUGCGCGAGCUGGCCCACGGCAUAGAGGACUGCAUCGACGGCCUCAUGUAUCGCGCCACCUGGGAGCACCAGGCGUCCUUCCUCCGCCGGAGCGUUCGGCUUCGGCCCCCCAGGGCGCUCAAGACCGGCGCGCAGCUCGCUCGGGAGAUGCAGCGGCUCAGGCGGAUGGCGAAGGAAGCGCACGAGCGGAAGCGGAGGUACGCGGCCGACUUCCCCGCCGGCGGCCAGCCCUCCUCUGCCACGCAGCUGGUGGACGAGUCGCCCUCCUCCCCGUCCGAUCCGCGCAUCCUUGACGCGGAUCUGGUCGGCGUCGAGGGGCCCCUCGCGGAGCUGCUGGAGCAGCUGGCUGAGGGGCGACCCAGCCAGCUGAAGGUGAUCGCCGUCGUCGGGUUUUGCGGCUUGGGGAAGACCGCCCUCGCCGCGGAAGUGUACAACCGAGAAACCCGCAGCGAGAGAUUUGAGAGGCACGCGUGGGUUUAUGCGGCGCUGAAGAGCCCACGGGAGGUGCUAGCGGACCUGCUCCGGAAACUUAGCUCCGACGCCCCUUCUUGCCAGGGGAAAAGUGUACUGGAGACCUCCGAUGUCGGCCAACUCUGCACAGAACUGAAACAACAUUUGGUGAUGAGGAGAUAUUUCAUUGUGAUUGAUGACAUUCGAACAGAAGAUCAGUGGAAAACCAUCAAAUCUGCCUUGCCAGCAGAUAAGGAUAUUAGCAGCAGAAUACUGGUGACGACGACUAUUCAGUCAGUAGCUAAUGCCUGCAGUUCUAGUAAUGGCUAUGUUCACAAAAUGAGCAGACUUGAUAAAAUGUGCUCGAAACAAUUGUUCACCAAGAAAGCUUGUCCGGACAAAUAUUCAUGUUACAAGCAGCCUGAUCCAGCGGAAGUUUUGAAGAAAUGUGACGGCCAGCCACUUGCGCUGGUGACAAUAGGUGAAUUCUUGCAAGCAAAGGGUUGGCCAACAGGACCUAGCUGUGAAGACAUCUGCACCCAGAUAGGUUAUCACCUGGAGAAUGACAAGAGCUUCGAAAAAAUGCGACGUGUGCUGAUUCAUAACUACACCACUCUGCCUAGCCAUGCUCUCAAAGCCUGCUUGCUAUAUUUUGGUAUGUUCCCAAGUAAUCGUCCCAUCAGGAAGAAAAGUCUUUUGAGACGAUGGCUUGCUGAGGGAUUUGUAGAACCGCAACCUUCGCCGAGCUCCCCGGAUCCCAUAGCUGCUUUCAAUUCCCUCAUGGAUCGAAACAUCAUUGAGCCAAUCAAUUUGAGCAACAAUGAUAAUGUGAAGACUUGUCAAACAUAUGGCAUGAUGCGUGAGUUCAUUUUGCACAUGUCCAUCUCUCAGAACUUCGUUACUUUGUUUUGCAAUGACAAGAUAGAGCCCAAAUACGUUCGUCGGCUUUCUCUCCAUGAGAGCUCUGCUACAGUUGUUGACAGUUUUAGCACUGUUGAUUUAUCACUUGUCCGGUCUCUAGCAAUCUUCGGGAAGGCAAGUCAAACUGUAUUGGACCUCAGCAAGUACCAUCUUCUGCGAGUAUUGGAUCUUGAAAAAUGUGAGGAGUUGAAGGAUGAUCAUGUCAAAGACAUAUGCAACCUGCUGCUUCUAAAAUAUCUGAGCCUUGGGGGUGGUGUUACCACAAUUCCAAGAGAUAUUGUUAAACUGAAACAUUUGGUAUCACUUGAUGUAAGGAGAACAAAGGUACAGAUACUGCAUGUAGAAGUCUUCCAGUUGCCAUCUUUAAUUCACUUAUUUGGGAAGUUUAAGCUUACAGAUAUUGUCAAGCCAAAAAGUGAAGUACAUGAGUUUCUCUCCAAAGGAAAAAGUAACUUAGAAACGCUAGCAGGAUUUGUUACCGAUGGUAGUGGAGGGUUCCUGCAUCUUAUGGGCUAUAUGAAUAAACUGAGUAAGGUGAAGAUUUUGUGUGAGUUGCCUGCAGGCUGUGCUGACCGAACUGAUCUUAAGGAGGCCAUUCAACAGUUCAUUGAGGAUGAAAAGCAGGCAAAUAUUGGUUCUCGCUCUUUAUCGCUUCAUUUCGGCAAAUGCUGUGAAGAGCUCCUGAAUUCCUUAAAAGGACCCUGCUACCUCAGCUCACUGAAAUUGCAUGGUGACUUGGCUGCACCUCCUCAGUUUGUUGUGUCACUUCGGGGCCUCAGGGAGCUGUGCCUUUGGUCUACUAGAUUGACAGCGGGUGUUCUUGAAGCUUUGAGUAAUUUGAGCUACCUGCAGUACUUGAAACUGGUUGCUGAUGACCUUGACAAGUUCGUCGUAAGAGACCAGGCGUUCUGCAGGCUUCUACGCCUUUCUUUGGAGCUGCAAUGUCCAACUUUCCCCACAAUAGAAGAAGGGGCUCUGCCAUUCCUUGUCACACUCCAGCUGCUCUGUAAAGAUCUGCACGGCCUUUCUGACCUCAAAAUAGAACAUCUCAAACACCUCAAGGAGGUCACUCUUGACCCUAGAGUCACUCCAACAACAAGAGGAACAUGGGAGAAGGCUGCUAGGGAGCAUCCGAACAGGCCAAAGGUUUUGCUGCUCAAAUCUGUUGAUGCAGCACAAAGUGAGCUUGCAGACUACACUAUAGCGUCAGAGCCAGCUGAAAGUGCCAUUCAAGAAACUAGUAUUCCAGCACUACUUAACCAGGGGCUGGUGGCAUCAUCCUCUGUGAUGAGGGAACAGAGCACUUCUGUUUUGAGCAAUAUGGGGCUCUCAGAGGUUUCUUCUGCUUUAACAUGA
This 3201-nucleotide ribosomal RNA is filed under the name Triticum aestivum (bread wheat). Its description in RNAcentral is "partial small subunit ribosomal RNA". Lineage: Eukaryota; Viridiplantae; Streptophyta; Magnoliopsida; Poales; Poaceae. The record is from RNAcentral.